Molecule: ribosomal RNA, 250 nt
Filed under: uncultured bacterium
Lineage: Bacteria
Description: partial 16S ribosomal RNA
Rfam family: Bacterial small subunit ribosomal RNA
Source: RNAcentral
UACGUAGGGUGCAAGCGUUGUCCGGAUUUAUUGGGCGUAAAGAGCUCGUAGGCGGUUUGUCGCGUCGGAUGUGAAAACCUAUGGCUUAACCAUGGGCCUGCAUUCGAUACGGGCAGACUAGAGUUUGGUAGGGGAGACUGGAAUUCCUGGUGUAGCGGUGAAAUGCGCAGAUAUCAGGAGGAACACCGGUGGCGAAGGCGGGUCUCUGGGCCAAUACUGACGCUGAGGAGCGAAAGCGUGGGGAGCAAAC